CCAAAGAACUUAUUCAAAACGUUAAUAACUUUGACCGUUAUAAAAAGUUUUUAUUUAGUUAUUUUUAACUUAGUUAUUUUGUUUUCCAAAACGUUAUUAAUGUUACGUAAAAAAAUUGUUUAUCAGUAAUUCUGAUGGUGAUCUCCAAUUAAUCUGAGAACAGUCUGUAUAAUUUGUACAUGUACGUAGAGUCUAGGGGACACCGAUAAUAUUUAAAUGUUUUUUUUAAUUCCCCACCAUAAUGCUAUCAUGUAAUUGUAACGUUUUUAUCUGGUGUGAUUAAUUUUUCUUUAUUUCUUAUUUAAAAAUAAAUAAAAUUACCAAUAUAGCCAAUGGACUAGUAUAAAGUUGUAAAGUAUACAUCAUAACCGGUAUAGUGACCAUUGAAUCAAAGGAAGUUCUAGAUACAAGUUUAUGAUUAAAAUUAUUAACCUGCUAUGAAAAAUUUUAUAUAGUGAUGAGGUCUAUUCAGUGAACAAUAUAAAGCUUCUACCUAUUACUGAAAACAAAAAUAAUAAACAUUAGAUAAUGUUUAGCUGAAAAUUCAUCACAAACUUAAACUAAAGUUAAAAUCAUUCCUGAGGGGAAAAGUCGUUCCAUUAUAGCACUAAGCAAAAUUGCGAUUAUGAUUCAUAUUAUUAUAAAGCUUCAUGUGCAUAAGCUAUCCCAGAACUUCAUAGGUCUAAAAUCUAAAUGUGAUAUAACUUUGGGUACUUAGGUACUCAUUUUAUGGGAACUUCGACACUUCGAUAAAUCAGUCUCUCAGCGUGUUUUAUGGGAAUUACAACUGCAAAUUAAUGUCUAUAUCGUUGUAAUGCACAUUUCCAAGAUCUUAAAAAUUAGCUUCUAUCUAGUUAAUGUUUCAACAACACACUUCAACUUCAACACAAAAUAUCAUCUUGUAAACAACGUUAUAAUGAUUAUUGUCAGCGUUCAAUGAUAUUUAAUAAGAGGAAGUCAUAUUAACUUCGUUAAUUAACGAUAACGAGUAACGAUAAGUUGCCUAUGGUGCUUCACUACCUAUGUGAAACAAUAUGGAAUGGAACAUCAAAUACUUAUGUAAAACUUUUCGAACAAAAUGUUAACAAACAACAAAAGGUUAUGUGCUCCAAAAUGAAUAUAAAGCUAUCGAUAUUUCUACUUGAGCAAUGUUCUACAAAGUGUAAUCUUGCAGGAAUCAACAACUGGAAUCAUAGCGGUUCAAUGUUAAUUUUCAUAUGAAUUAAUCUGACCUUCUUCUUCAUAGCUUGUUGGUGACAAUGAAUCUGGUCUGGGUUUGUCACCGUGGCGGUGAAGACACUGGGGAGUCAAGUUGGUGUCAGUUACUUACUGUCCACCUGUGGCGCAGCUGGAUGUGUGUUCGAAACUAAACUUCAAAGACGGUAAACCAAUUUACAAGCCUGGUGCAAAAUCUCCAGGAACCAUGCAAAGAUUACUCUGAAUGACAAGAGAUGGCUGGCCAUUUUGGUCAGACUGGCCGAGCUGGAUGGCAACCAGAUGGUGCCGAUGCAGUGCCGCCGAGCAGUGUGCGCUGUAUGCGCGCUGCAGUCUGGUGGGCGCGCAGGCAACCGCCUGACGCGGGUGCACUGCUGGUGUGCAGUUUGCGCUGUAUGCGCGCUGCUGUGUGCGCUGUAUGCGCGCUGCUGUCUGCGCUGUAUGCGCGCUGCUGUGUGCGCUGUAUGCGCGCUGCUGUCUGCGCUGUAUGCGCGCUGCUGUGUGCGCUGUAUGCGCGCUGCUGUCUGCGCUGUAUGCGCGCUGCUGUCUGCGCUGUAUGCGCGCUGCUGUUUGCGCUGUAUGCGCGCUGCGGUCUGGUGGUCGCGCAGGCAACCGCCUGACGCGGGUGCACAGCACGCAUGCUGUCUGCGCUUGAUGCGCGCUACAGUUGGCCAUAGACGGCUGACGUAGAAGAUGCAUCGACGGGUGUUGCAACGACGGACAUUUACAAGUUCUUCAGACCGCUUUCGACGGGAUCUCACGCAGAAAUGCGAUGAGUGGCUUUGCCUUUCGUUCAUUAUAUGAAUGACUGCGCUUGGGCGGGGCCGCCUGCUAUGCGGGUGGUUACUGCGUUGGGCAAACUGCGGGGUGUCCGACUUUUUCUACAUUUCAAGAUGAUGAAUGACAUGGAUCCAUGUGUGAGAUGACUAAUGUUGGUCGAAGCCUGAUAGUUAACUGGCUGUGGUUCAUGAAACCUAACCUUUCAUGAAUCAAUAAUCAUUUUUGUUAUUUUGAAUGUUCGAGAGUUAAGACAGAGGGCCCUGAAAGAUCGAUGAACAAGAGAUUAGGCAAAGCUGUGACCACUAGGGUCGUAACUAACAGUGGGCUCUUUUGCAGAACUCUAUCUAUAUGGCAGACAUUGGGCUAAGCAGCCUGCCGCUGCCGCGACAAGUCUCCCUCCCCUACGGGACCCUCCAGGGCAUGCCGCCAAGCUGCCAAGGCGUCGCGACGGCGUCACCGCUGAACAACCAAGCGGAAGACAGCCAAGACCCUCCACCAAGCCGCUUGUCUCUCAGUAUGAGGAGAAAGCUUACAUUGAAGAUGUGCCCGAGGACGGUGCACAGUCAGGAGAGGCCGUGUUAGCAACCUCGUACAAAAUAUAGUCUGUGAAGUUAUUAUUCCGAGCGGCAACUAGUCUGUGAAUCCUCUAUUUCAAUAUAAAUUGUCUAUGGUCAUAUUUUCCUUCUUGCCGCCAUUGCGGUUUGUCAACAACACUACUUUUUUGUGCAACUUGGAUAAAUAAUCUUCACGGAUUAAAUUAACAACUUAGUGGUUCUUUCCUUUGAUUAUUGUGCAUUGUAUCAUGGUUGAUUGUUUUCGUUAUUAUUUCUUUGUAUAAUUUCGAUUCUACAGUACAUUUGGUUUAUAACUUAGAUUCUAAAUAUUUCAAUUGUAAUAGAAACUCAAGUGCUUAUUCUGA
Plutella xylostella (diamondback moth) is the source of this 2914-nucleotide long non-coding RNA. RefSeq lists it as uncharacterized. NCBI's taxonomy places the organism in Eukaryota, Metazoa, Arthropoda, Insecta, Lepidoptera, Plutellidae. The record is from RefSeq and is a predicted model, not a curated record.